Molecule: ribosomal RNA, 462 nt
Filed under: uncultured bacterium
Lineage: Bacteria
Description: partial 16S ribosomal RNA
Rfam family: Bacterial small subunit ribosomal RNA
Source: RNAcentral
CCUACGGGAGGCAGCAGUGAGGAAUAUUGGUCAAUGGACGCAAGUCUGAACCAGCCAAGUCGCGUGCAGGAUGACGGCCCUCCGGGUUGUAAACUGCUUUUAGUUGGGAAUAAAAGGGGGCUCGUGAGCCCCGUAUUGUAUGUACCAUCAGAAAACGGACCGGCUCAUUGCGUGCCAACAGCCGCGGUGAUACGGAAGGUCCGGGCGUUAUUCCGGUUUAUUGGGUUUGAAGGGUGCGUCGGGCGGCGUUUAAGUCAGCUGUGAAAGUCCGCGGCUCAACCGUGGAAUUGCAGUUGAAACUGGAGGCCUUGAGUGCACACAGGGAUGCCGGAAUUCAUGGUGUAGCGGUGAAAUGCUUAGAUAUCAUGAAGAACUCCGAUCGCGAAGGCAAGUGUCCGGGGUGCAACUGACGCUGAGGCUCGAAAGUGCGGGUAUCAAACAGGAUUAGAUACCCUGGUAGUC